CCACAAACACCUGCAGGGGCUCAGCGUCCCACUCACUGGGCUCAUAGGUGAUGUCGAAGCCCUGCUUCCAAACACCUCCAUCCUGGUUAUCGAAGGGCAGCAGGGAGUACACGGCCAGCAUCUGCAGGUCGGGGCUCUCGCCUUUGGCCCCCAGGGCAAACUGGCAGUCCUGCGGGGACACGGCGAGGAAGCUGGGGCGGCUCUCUGGGGGCAGCGCCCAGGAGCCGUUGUCGCGGCGUGGCGGCGGGGGCUGCCCGUCGGCGUGCGCCGUCAGCUCCAGCACCGAGUCCUUGAUGUGGCUGAUGAUCUCGUGGUUCUCCUCCAGCAGCUGCUCCAGCUGCUCGAUGCGGUUCUGCAGCACCGAGAUCUGGCUCCGGGGGAAGUUCCCCCCGCUCUGGUGGCGCGCGGGGUCGUGCUGCACGCGGUCCAGCAUCAGGUAGAGGGAGAAGACGGCCACGCAGAAGAUGGCAGCUCCACACACUGUCACCUGCUUCUUCAGCUUCAUCCCGCAGCGCCGCGGGGCACACCCUGCGCGGCUCCGCGGCCCGACCCCG
RNAcentral lists this long non-coding RNA (554 nucleotides) under Gallus gallus (chicken). Lineage: Eukaryota; Metazoa; Chordata; Aves; Galliformes; Phasianidae. The record is from RNAcentral.